CCACACUCCAGUCCAGUAGGUGGUGGUAAUGCACCUUAAGUUGGUUUGCCAUCCGACAUUAAAACAAAAGGAAGUGUGAAUCUGUAACAAGUACUACUUUUUCAGUGUUACUUAUUCACUCUUUGAGGCCUUUUACUACUGCAGUGACUUCUCCUGUUUGUGCUGUAGUAGGCCUAUGUGUGAGAUGAGAGAGCUCAGAGGAGAAUGGGCAGACUGGUUCACGCUGACAGGAAGUCUACAGUAACACAAUAACCAUUCUUUACAACUGUGGUGAGAAGGAAAGCUCAGAUCUCAGAAUGGACAACAUGCUGAAAAUUCAGGCAGUCAGACUUCCACAGCAGAAGACAACAUCGGGUUCCAGCGGGAAUCAAUGGGCAUGAUAAUGAUUGGAGAGGAGAGCUGUUUGAGCGUUUCAUUUACUCUAAGGAAAGACAAGAUCAGAACCAUGAACAUGACUCUACAAAUGAUUUUUAUCUUAUGGAAAGUGACAGUGAUCAAGAUUCGCUGCCCUCUUCUGAUGACCAUCAGUCCAUGGACACUCCCAACACUUUUGAAGGAAAUAUGUUCCUUUUUUCUGUUGGAAGGAAGUCAGAUGCCUCUGAGGCUGACCAACAAUCCAGGAUGGAAGCAAAGCAAAACAACGUAAAGAAGACCAAAGGAACCUGCUUUAAGUCACGCUUUCAGUCUGCACUACAAGCUUUGCUGGUGUCUCGUGCCCCGUUCUGUAUGACCUCAAUUCCCACCAGAGGUAUUCCAUUAAAUUAACCAAGCUCAUCACUGUUAAUGUUAGUUUUUUUAUAUUUUUAAUAUUGGUGGUAUACUGUUUGUUUUCUAUUUUAUUUGUAUACAUAUCUUUAAUGACACAUUUUGCUGG
Ictalurus punctatus (channel catfish) is the source of this 874-nucleotide long non-coding RNA. The record is from Ensembl. Lineage: Eukaryota; Metazoa; Chordata; Actinopteri; Siluriformes; Ictaluridae.